RNAcentral lists this ribosomal RNA (292 nucleotides) under uncultured bacterium. Its description in RNAcentral is "partial 16S ribosomal RNA". It matches the Rfam family "Bacterial small subunit ribosomal RNA", at positions 505 to 796 of the family's 1533-position model. The record is from RNAcentral.
GUGUCAGCAGCCGCGGUAAGACGUAGGGGACGAGCGUUGUCCGGAUUCAUUGGGCGUAAAGCGCGCGCAGGCGGCCGCGUAAGUCGGGUGUGAAACCCCGGGGCUCAACCCCGGGCCUGCAUCCGAUACUGCACGGCUAGAGGUAGGUAGGGGAGAUCGGAAUUCCUGGUGUAGCGGUGAAAUGCGCAGAUAUCAGGAGGAACACCGGUGGCGAAGGCGGAUCUCUGGGCCUUACCUGACGCUCAGGCGCGAAAGCUAGGGGAGCGAACAGGAUUAGAUACCCCGGUAGUCC